Molecule: transfer RNA, 65 nt
Filed under: Dipodomys ordii (Ord's kangaroo rat)
Lineage: Eukaryota; Metazoa; Chordata; Mammalia; Rodentia; Heteromyidae
Rfam family: tRNA
About the family: Transfer RNA (tRNA) molecules are approximately 80 nucleotides in length.
Source: Rfam by way of RNAcentral
GGUGGCUCAGUGGUAGAGUGCCUGCCUAGCAUGCAUGAAGCCCUGGGUUCGAUUCCUCAGUACCA